GCGCCAGUAGCUCAGUUGGAUAGAGCAUCCGCCUCCUAAGCGGAAGGUCAGGGAUUCGAGCUCCUUCUGGCGCGCCA
Molecule: transfer RNA, 77 nt
Filed under: Bacillota bacterium
Lineage: Bacteria; Bacillati; Bacillota
Description: tRNA-Arg
Rfam family: tRNA
About the family: Transfer RNA (tRNA) molecules are approximately 80 nucleotides in length. Their secondary structure includes four short double-helical elements and three loops (D, anti-codon, and T loops). Further hydrogen bonds mediate the characteristic L-shaped molecular structure. tRNAs have two regions of fundamental functional importance: the anti-codon, which is responsible for specific mRNA codon recognition, and the 3' end, to which the tRNAs corresponding amino acid is attached (by aminoacyl-tRNA synthetases). tRNAs cope with the degeneracy of the genetic code in two manners: having more than one tRNA (with a specific anti-codon) for a particular amino acid; and 'wobble' base-pairing, i.e. permitting non-standard base-pairing at the 3rd anti-codon position.
Source: RNAcentral